This 2352-nucleotide long non-coding RNA is filed under the name Piliocolobus tephrosceles (Ugandan red Colobus). RNAcentral describes it as "lncRNA (ENSPTEG00000001942.1)". The record is from RNAcentral. Lineage: Eukaryota; Metazoa; Chordata; Mammalia; Primates; Cercopithecidae.
ACUCUACUAACUGUUGUGAUUCAAUAAAAUGCAAUAAUUUUCAUUGUUAUUUAAAUGCGGAUUGUUUUUUACAAAAUAUAAAAAUAUGUAAAAAAUGUAUCUUCUUAUAUUUUAAUUUUACCAUUAUAACUAACGUUCUUUUUAUGAGACAUGGCGCCAGGACUCCCAAAAAAAAAAUUAAAAAUAUAUGGCCAUUCGAAGAAGGGAAAGGGGAAUUAACUUUUUUAGGAUUUCAACAAUCACUAAAAGUAGGAAAGUAUUUAAGAAGAUAUUACUACAGUUUAAAAAAGUUAAAAAGACAAUAUAAUAAUAAGUUUAGAAAUAAAAAUAGCAAUAGCAAAGUUUAUUUUGAGGGGAAUAAAAAAAAAGGGAAUGGUAAAAAGAGGCAUCGAGAGCAUAGAAAUGUAUAUGAAACAAAAUGUAAUUUUAAUGUUGGUAGCAAUGGUGGUUGUAAAAAUUAUAGUAACAAACAGGAUGAUGAACGUUUAUUAUUCCCUUUGUCAUCAAAAUUUGGUCAAAUGAAUUUAAAAAACAGUUUUUGGCCGAAUAGUAGUCGUAAAAAAAAAAAUCAUGUGAACGGAAAAAAGGCAUUUUAUAACAGUUUUAACAAUACGAAAAAAAAGCAAACAAACAUAGAUGAUAAUAUGGUGUUAAAAAAAAUUCAAUUUAUUUAUGAACGUGUUAUAACAAAUGACAAAAUAUAUGAAAGAUUAAGUGAAAAAGAAAUACAAAUUUUAGCACAGGUUAUUCAAAAUUUUUAUUUAAAAAAAAAAGAGUCCUUAACAAAGCAGCUAAAAAUAUAUAAUAUGGAAAGAGAAAAAAAAAAACAUGAUAAAGUAGUAAAUUUAAUUAAUAAAUAUUUAUGUAUCAAAACAACAAAUAAUGAAAGGUGUCAAUUAACAGCAUAUGCGAUUAUUUGUGGUAUAUUAGGAAUAAGUGAAAAAAUGUUUUUUUUCUUUUUUUUACUUUCAUUUAAUAAAGAUGAUAAUAGUUCAAAGCGUAGUUACAAAAAAAAUAAUAAUUAUAAUGAUUUGGAUAUUUCGCGGAUGUGUAAUAAUGUAGUAACUAAAAAAAAUGACAUUGCAACAAAUAAUUAUGAACAAAAAAUAUAUAUGAAAAGUGAAAAAAGUGCUAUACCAUUACUUAGAUCCUUUUUAGUUAAGCACUGUAAAAAAAAUUGUAAAGAUAUUGGAGAAAAAAUCGAAUUUUUAUGUACAACUGAUAAAAACUUAUCAGUUGGCCAAAAAAUAAAUAAUGAUUAUGACAUGUGUUACAUUAGUAAUAAUGUUAAUGAUUAUACUUUUAUUAAUUGCAGUGACGAGUUUAAUAAAAUUGUUAAAAAAAUUAUGUAUUUGGAUGGAAUAUGUAAAUCAAAUUAUUAUACUAAAAAUAAUAUUUUAAACAAUGAUCAUAAUAACGAAACUUGUCCAAAUUUUAUGAACUGUUCAGGUAAUAAUUUAAAAUUUAAGACAAAAAAAGAUGAUAAUAACUUAUUAUGUAUUUAUAAAUUUAAUAAUAGAUGUAAAGAGGAGGAAAAUGUUGAUUUAUUUAAGGAUCUAGAUCUAGAUCUAGUUGAUAAAAGUAAAAACUGUGAGAAUAUUUUUGAAAAAAAGUAUGUAAAUGUUGGGUUAUUAAGCGAGCGUGAUGUUAUAUAUAACAACAGCUGUACAUUUAACUGUUGUGCAUGUUAUAUAGAAAACCCACGUAUAAAUGAAAUGAAGUGUAAAAAAAUGGAUAUUCUUUUUGAUAAUGAUACAUCACCGGGUAUACGUACUUUAAAAAAUUAUGAAGAUACAGGUAGUAGUAGUAGUAGUAGUAGUAAUAGUAUCACUGAUUUAUUUGGAGAAAAUAAUAAAUACAAAUAUAUGAGGUCACUAAGUUAUAGUGAUAAUGUGAACUCAAAUAAUACGUAUAAAAAAAAAAAAAAAAAAAAAAUGAAUAUAAAUUAUAAGAACAGGAAUAAUAAGUUCCUNNNNNNNNNNNNNNNNNNNNNNNNNNNNNNNNNNNNNNNNNNNNNNNNNNNNNNNNNNNNNNNNNNNNNNNNNNNNNNNNNNNNNNNNNNNNNNNNNNNNUUUGUUAUGAACAGUUCAUACAGUGCUCAUUAUUUUUAUAGCCAAAUUAUAAAAGCAAAAAACAGAAAUGGAAAAACGUUAAAAAAGUCUUAUAUAUCAUAUAUUUUUCAAAUAUAUUUACAUUACAUAUUAAAUGAAUUUAAAAAAUAUAUACAUAAUCAUAUUAAAUAUAAUUAUAAUGAUAGUAGUAAUAGUAGUAGUAGAAGUUGUACUAUGUAUGUAAAUAGUGAUAAACGGAGCAAAGAUGUUAUGUUAACUAAAAUGCAUGAACAAAAUGUUG